CGGAAAUUGUGAUUUUGGGGGGCCCCCGGGGGAGGGGAUUUUUGCCGAAUUUUACCUGGGGGGGAAAAGUGGGGGGGAACAGGUUUAGUACCUGGUAGUCCCCCGUAAAAAAUGAAGUUUAGUUUAGGGGUAUUGACCCUUUUGUGCCCCAGUAACACAAUAAGCACUUCCCCUGGGGAUUCCGCCGCAAAGUUGAAACUUAAAGAAAUUGAGGGGGGCCCGCACAAGGGGUGGAGCAUUGGUUAAUUUCGAGGCAACGCGAAGAACCUUACCAAGGCUGACAUCCCUCUGAACACUCGGAGACAGGUGGGGCUUCGGGACAGAGGAGACAGGUGGUGCAUGGUUGUCGUCAGCUCGUGUCGUGAGAUGUGGGUUAAGUCCCGCAACGAGCGCAACCCCUAUGUUCAGUUGCCAGCAAGUAAAGUUGGGGACUCUGGACAGACUGCCGGUGACAAACCGGAGGAAGGUGGGGAUGAGGUCAAAUCAUCAUGCCCCUUACGUCUUGGGCUACACACGUGCUACAAUGGACGGUACAGACGGCAGCGAAGCCGCGAGGUGGAGCCAAUCUGAGAAAGCCGUUCCCAGUUCGGAUUGUAGGCUGCAACUCGCCUACAUGAAGUCGGAAUCGCUAGUAAUCGCAGGUCAGCAUACUGCGGUGAAUACGUUCCCGGGCCUUGUACACACCGCCCGUCACACCACGAAAGUUUGCAACACCCGAAGCCGGUGGGGUAACCUCGCAAGAGGGGCUAGCCGUCGAAGGUGGGGUGGAUGAUUGGGGUGAAGUCGUAACAAGGUAA
Molecule: ribosomal RNA, 797 nt
Filed under: uncultured low G+C Gram-positive bacterium
Lineage: Bacteria; Bacillati; Bacillota
Description: partial 16S ribosomal RNA
Rfam family: Bacterial small subunit ribosomal RNA
Source: RNAcentral